AUUACUAGACUCAUACCCCUAACCUAAUCCCUACCCCUAUAUAAUAGUACCUAAUCUCUAAAUUGACCUAGGCCUAAAAAAACCCAUCAUCCGCCGUUUCCCAUAAAAAAGAAUGGCAACCUUCCAUUUAAAAUCCAUUGUCUUCUUCAUUCCUGGUAGCUCUCAGCAGACUAACGCCUAAGAGCUUCAGCAGUCAAAAAACAUAACAACCAACAGCAGCAGCCAUUUUUGUCCUCCUCGGAAUUUGAUUGGCAAAGAUCGGUCUCCACCUCCCUCCAAAUCGGAAAAACCAGCAACACCCCAAAAUAUAGGAAUGAAACACAUACACAAACAAAGAACGGACGACCUCGCCUCUCUCCAUUCCAAGAGAACACCCUUCAGUCGUGAUUUCGAAAUCCUGGACCCUACCAAAAUCGACAAGCAACACCACCCGCAAUAGAGUAAAACGUAGAACAAAAAUGGUCUGGAAAGCAUCGUCCAAACAGAGCAAAUCAGAGGUGCCGACUCGAGGUCCGUUCCUGAAUUUUGUCGCGGUUCUGGCGAGUUUCGAGGUUUGGAUCGUAGUUUCAUCCAGAGGACGUUGGAUUCAAUUCUUGUAUUUUUCAUGGUAAACAGUUUGGCAUCCACCGUGAGCCAAGGGUAAUAGUGAUUGCCUGGUAUUAAUUCUCAUCACACACUGCUUUACGGUUGUUCUCGUAAGUGUCUUUGAUUUUAGGAAUCAAUAUGUUAAACUCUCAAAUAGCAUCCACUCACUUGGACAACGGCCUUGGUCUUCAUGGCGAGAACGAAAACGUUGCCGCCACGGGAAACGGAGUUCCUCCAGUCAACCCUGACGGACCGCCGGCCCUAGACCCAGUCGAUGUCAACUCCUGCAUUGCCAUUAAUGGGAAUUUGGGCGUCGUCCCUGAGAAUAGCAUUUGCAGGGAUGCUCGAGCAGCCGAUCAGAAUGCACAGAGCGGUGAAGAAGGCGGAAUUAGCCUUCAAAUAAUAUUCGAGAUGUUGCAGACUCAACAAGCUGCGAUAGCACAACUCUAAAAUCAGAAUCGAACACUAAGCAAAUUGAGCUCGAAAUAUCACAAGAAUUUAUUCAUAGAGCCGAACUUGUACCAGAAAAAUCGAACGCCAAUGAAUCGGGGACUGUGAGCACAUGAUUUUUGCCCUAUAGGAAUUACUCCCAUAAAAUAUAAGAAAAUAAAUUUUUCUCAAUUUUUGCAAUUUUAUAGGAUUUUGUGGGAAUUUGUGUUAAUUGGUGGCAUUUCUGUGCAUGUUUACUUUUAUUCAAAUAAUGAAAAAAAUACA
Nicotiana tabacum (common tobacco) is the source of this 1299-nucleotide non-coding RNA. NCBI's taxonomy places the organism in Eukaryota, Viridiplantae, Streptophyta, Magnoliopsida, Solanales, Solanaceae. The record is from RefSeq and is a predicted model, not a curated record.